GACGGAGGAUGCAAGCGUUAUCCGGAAUGAUUGGGCGUAAAGCGUCCGCAGGUGGCCGUUCAAGUCUGCUGUCAAAGACCGGGGCUUAACUUCGGAAAGGCAGUGGAAACUGAACAGCUAGAGUAUGGUAGGGGCAGAGGGAAUUCCUGGUGUAGCGGUGAAAUGCGUAGAGAUCAGGAAGAACAUCGGUGGCGAAGGCGGGUCUCUGGGCCGAUACUGACGCUGAGGAGCGAAAGCGUGGGGAGCGAACAGG
This 253-nucleotide ribosomal RNA is filed under the name uncultured bacterium. RNAcentral's name for it is "partial 16S ribosomal RNA". It matches the Rfam family "Bacterial small subunit ribosomal RNA", at positions 524 to 776 of the family's 1533-position model. The record is from RNAcentral.